AUGAUCCUACGGGACGCAGCAGUGAGGAAUAUUGGUCAAUGGGCGGAAGCCUGAACCAGCCAAGUCGCGUGAGGGAAUAAGACCCUACGGGUCGUAAACCUCUUUUGCCGGGGAGCAAGGGCCGGGACGAGUCCCGGUCCGGAGAGUACCCGGAGAAAAAGCAUCGGCUAACUCCGUGCCAGCAGCCGCGGUAAUACGGAUGAUGCGAGCGUUAUCCGGAUUUAUUGGGUUUAAAGUGUGCGUAGGCGGGCUUUUAAGUCAGCGGUAAAAAUCCGGGGCUCAACCCCGUCUGGCCGUUGAAACUG
Molecule: ribosomal RNA, 305 nt
Filed under: uncultured bacterium
Lineage: Bacteria
Description: bacterial SSU rRNA
Rfam family: Bacterial small subunit ribosomal RNA
Source: RNAcentral